UGCCAGCCGCCGCGGUAAUACAGAGGGUGCAAACGUUGUUCGGAAUCACUGGGCAUAAAGCGCGCGUAGGCGGCAUAUCAAGUGCGGAGUGAAAGCCCACGGCUCACCCGUGGAAUUGCUUUGCAUACUGGUUUGCUAGAGUACGGUAGGGGAGAGCGGAACUCUUGGAGGAGCGGUGAAAUGCGUAGAUAUCAAGAGGAACACCAAAGGCGAAGGCAGCUCUCUGGUCCGUCACUGACGCUGAGGCGCGAAAGCCAGGGUAGCGAACGGGAUUAGAUA
This 279-nucleotide ribosomal RNA is filed under the name uncultured bacterium. RNAcentral's name for it is "partial 16S ribosomal RNA". It matches the Rfam family "Bacterial small subunit ribosomal RNA", at positions 506 to 784 of the family's 1533-position model. The record is from RNAcentral.